RNAcentral lists this ribosomal RNA (494 nucleotides) under uncultured bacterium. Its description in RNAcentral is "partial 16S ribosomal RNA". It matches the Rfam family "Bacterial small subunit ribosomal RNA", at positions 28 to 523 of the family's 1533-position model. The record is from RNAcentral.
GAUGAACGCUAGCGGCAGGCUUAACACAUGCAAGUCGAGGGGUAUAGUUCUUCGGAACUAGAGACCGGCGCACGGGUGCGUAACGCGUAUGUAAUCUACCUUUUACAGGGGGAUAGCCCAGAGAAAUUUGGAUUAAUACCCCAUAGUAUGUUGUGGUGGCAUCACUAUAACAUUAAAGUUCCAACGGUAAAAGAUGAGCAUGCGUCCCAUUAGCUAGAUGGUAAGGUAACGGCUUACCAUGGCUACGAUGGGUAGGGGUCCUGAGAGGGAGAUCCCCCCCAUUGAUACUGAGCAAAGACACAGACCACUACGGGAGGCAGCGGUGAGGAUUAUUGGAAACUGGCCCCAACCCUGCUCCAGCCCUGCGGCGGGAAGGAGGACGUUCUUAUGGAUUGAACACUGCUUUUGUACAGGAAAAAACCCCCCCUCGUGGGGGUGCUUGACGGUAUUGUAAGAAUAAGGAUCGGCUAACUCCGUGCCAGCACCCGCCGUAA